GACAGGACCUCUGGGGCCCCUUCCUUCCCUGAGAAUCUAUGAUUUCAGGGACCUUUUUUUUUUCUUCACCAGAAAAACAUGAAAGUAUUAGAACAGACCCUGCAAAAGGAACCUCUGCCUGGGAACUAAUGAUGCCCUUCAUUCCUAAUGCUAAUUGGCUCUCUCACUUCUGAGAUUGCCCCACCCCAGAGCAAACAAGAGAGUCGGUAAAUUCUUAGUCUGGGAGACUUUGGGGGAGUUCCCAUGAAGCGAGGGCCAUCCUGACUGUUAGAUCUCUCUGGGUCCCUUAGCUUCAUCUUGUCUGCAGGAUGGUGUGUGUGCUGCUCCCCAGGGGCAUCUGGACAGAGGUUCUGGCUGUGACCCUGCUGGUGCUGAAUUCCCAGGUGGCUGCAGGCAGACAUGCCCCAAUGUCAUCUCUGGUCUCCACACUAUUGCUGCUGUCCCUGAAGCCUGGUCAGGAUCAAAGGGCCUCUGCCAUGACCCAGUAGAGGUGUAAGAUCCUUUGUUCUGGGCAGGGAGGGAGCCCUCUGGGAUGGGACACAACCCUCUUCCAGCUAGUGUAAGUAUUAUAGGGGAACAGAUAAAAGCCCCUCUGGCACUGUGUGCAUUAUUUCCCCUGCAGCCUGGCCUGGCACCUGGCCUGGCCCAUCACAGUCUCUUUGGGAUCCUAACCUGUUCUCAAGGAAUCUGACCCACUUUUGAGGUUUAUCAGCUGCACUGACUCUGGGGGGAAGAGUAUGCCAUGUGUAACAUCCAUUCUCCAGGUCUGGGCAAGAGAGAAGGGCCUUCUAGAGACAGUCUAUUAGGGACUGAGGAAGGAGACACCCAAGGACAGUGGGAUCUCCCAGUUCUAGCAGAGUGAUGGCUGCUUAACCUAGCUGACAACUCCAGUAUCAUCCUGCUAUAACCCAUGGGUAUACUGAGUGGGUGCUGCCCCCUUGUGGACAAUCAUCCAAACAACACAGUAUUUAAGUAGCCUCCCAAACUUUUUCUUUCUUCUUUCUUCUUUCUUUCUUUCUUCUUUCUUUCUUUCUUUCUUCUUCUUU
Molecule: long non-coding RNA, 1046 nt
Filed under: Phascolarctos cinereus (koala)
Lineage: Eukaryota; Metazoa; Chordata; Mammalia; Diprotodontia; Phascolarctidae
Description: lncRNA (ENSPCIG00000004159.2)
Source: RNAcentral